This 460-nucleotide ribosomal RNA is filed under the name uncultured bacterium. Its description in RNAcentral is "partial 16S ribosomal RNA". It matches the Rfam family "Bacterial small subunit ribosomal RNA", at positions 338 to 795 of the family's 1533-position model. The record is from RNAcentral.
ACUACGGGAGGCUGCAGUGAGGAAUAUUGGUCAAUGGGCGAGAGCCUGAACCAGCCAAGUCGCGUGAGGGAUGACUGCCCUAUGGGUUGUAAACUUCUUUUAUAUGGGAAUAAAAUGUUCCACGUGUGGGAUUUUGUAUGUACCAUAUGAAUAAGGAUCGGCUAACUCCGUGCCAGCAACCGCGGUAAUACGGAGGAUCCGAGCGUUAUCCGGAUUUAUUGGGUUUAAAGGGAGCGUAGGUGGAUUGUUAAGUCAGUUGUGAAAGUUUGCGGCUCAACCGUAAAAUUGCAGUUGAAACUGGCAGUCGUGAGUACAGUAGAGGUGGGCGGAAUUCGUGGUGUAGAGGUGAAAUGCUUAGAUAGCACGAAGAACUCCGAUUGCGAAGGCAGUUCACUGGACUGCAACUGACACUGAGGCUCGAAAGUGUGGGUAUCAAACAGGAUUAGAUACCCGGGUAGUC